Molecule: long non-coding RNA, 586 nt
Filed under: Ursus maritimus (polar bear)
Lineage: Eukaryota; Metazoa; Chordata; Mammalia; Carnivora; Ursidae
Description: lncRNA (ENSUMAG00000008103.1)
Source: RNAcentral
CAAGAGCGGGGGCAGAGCACGCCGACCGAGGCGUGGGCACCUUCCUAGGGCGCACCUCGGAGUCCUCGGGCUCUUGCCUAGACGGGAAGGGACGGGGCAGAUCUCCUUCCAGCGGAGCCCCGGGGGCCUCGCGCAAACCUAGGGCGACAGGAGGAAUGCGUCGGGACCGGGCGGGAAGAAGACAGAAUAGAAUGGGGGACCCAGCACCCUCCCCGUCCCCUUGUCCUCCUUCGCUUACUUGCGUUCUUGGGAGGUUCGCGAGGAACGGGUUAUUAAUCCCCGCUUGGUGGAGUAGGAACUCGCCCUGAAGAAAGCCCUGUUUGUGCAGUUUGCUGAGGUGUUCCCGUUGAAGGUGUUCGGCUACCAGCCAGAUCCCAUGCGCUACCAAGAGGCUGUGGGCUUCCUGGAACUGCUGGCUGGGCUGCUGCUGGUCCUGGGCCCACGGAUGCUGCAAGAGAUCAGUAACUUGCUUUUGACCCUGCUCAUGAUGGCCCUACCCUUGAGACGAGGAGAUGGAGUUGCAGCUGCCCGUGGAGUUAUGCGUCUGGCAGGUGGGAACAGAGAGCAAGGGAGCUGGGCCCCCUGA